Molecule: ribosomal RNA, 501 nt
Filed under: uncultured bacterium
Lineage: Bacteria
Description: partial 16S ribosomal RNA
Rfam family: Bacterial small subunit ribosomal RNA
Source: RNAcentral
AUUGAACGCUGGCGGCAUGCCUUACACAUGCAAGUCGAACGGCAGCACGGGUGCUUGCACCUGGUGGCGAGUGGCGAGCGGGUGAGUAAUACAUCGGAACGUACCUUAUCGUGGGGGAUAACGCAGCGAAAGCUGUGCUAAUACCGCAUACGCCCUGAGGGGGAAAGCGGGGGAUCGCAAGACCUCGCGCGAUUAGAGCGGCCGAUGCCUGAUUAGCUUGUUGGUGGGGUAAAAGCCCACCAAGGCGACGAUCAGUAGCUGGUCUGAGAGGACGAUCAGCCACACUGGGACGGAGACACGGCCCAGACUCCUACGGGAGGCAGCAGUGGGGAAUUUUGGACAAUGGGGGCAACCCUGAUCCAGCAAUGCCGCGUGAGUGAAGAAGGCCUUCGGGUUGUAAAGCUCUUUUGUCAGGGAAGAAACACCGGCUCUAACACAGUCCGGGAAUGACGGUACCUGAAGAAUAAGCACCGGCUAACUACGUGCCAGCCGCCGCGGUAA